GAUGAACGCUGGCGGCGUGCCUAAUACAUGCAAGUCGAGCGAACAGACGAGGAGCUUGCUCCUCUGACGUUAGCGGCGGACGGGUGAGUAACACGUGGAUAACCUACCUAUAAGACUGGGAUAACUUCGGGAAACCGGAGCUAAUACCGGAUAAUAUAUUGAACCGCAUGGUUCAAUAGUGAAAGACGGUUUUGCUGUCACUUAUAGAUGGAUCCGCGCCGCAUUAGCUAGUUGGUAAGGUAACGGCUUACCAAGGCCACGAUGCGUAGCCGACCUGAGAGGGUGAUCGGCCACACUGGAACUGAGACACGGUCCAGACUCCUACGGGAGGCAGCAGUAGGGAAUCUUCCGCAAUGGGCGAAAGCCUGACGGAGCAACGCCGCGUGAGUGAUGAAGGUCUUCGGAGCGUAAAACUCUGUUAUUAGGGAAGAACAAAUGUGUAAGUAACUAUGCACGUCUUGACGGUACCUAAUCAGAAAGCCACGGCUAACUACGUG
Molecule: ribosomal RNA, 497 nt
Filed under: uncultured bacterium
Lineage: Bacteria
Description: partial 16S ribosomal RNA
Rfam family: Bacterial small subunit ribosomal RNA
Source: RNAcentral